This 301-nucleotide ribosomal RNA is filed under the name uncultured bacterium. RNAcentral describes it as "partial 16S ribosomal RNA". It matches the Rfam family "Bacterial small subunit ribosomal RNA", at positions 509 to 807 of the family's 1533-position model. The record is from RNAcentral.
CAGUAGCCGCGGUAAUACGAAGGGGGCUAGCGUUGUUCGGAUUUACUGGGCGUAAAGCGCACGUAGGCGGACUUUUAAGCCAGGGGUGAAAUCCCGGGGCUCAACCCCGGAACUGCCUUUGAUACUGGAAGUCUUGAGUAUGGUAGAGGUGAGUGGAAUUCCGAGUGUAGAGGUGAAAUUCGUAGAUAUUCGGAAGAACACCAGUGGCGAAAGCACUCUGCUGGGCCGACACUGACACUGAGAGACGAAAGCUAGGGGAGCAAAUGGGAUUAGAUACCCCUGUAGUCCCUGUCUCUUAUAC